GGGGGUGUACUGGUUUCGACAGGGAUAUGUUUGGUAUAGAUUGCAGUCGAGUGGUUACGUAAUAACCAAUGAAAUUAAACGGAAAAACUAAAUUUGCUAACAUCUUUGGUGCAAACCAGAGUGUAGCUUUCGCUGCCUAAUUAACCGACAUAGGUUCGCAGCCGGCUAUGUCCCUUGCUUCUCUGAUCGGACAUACGCACGCUUAAGACACAGAGGAUAAGGGAGUAUAUUGUCUAAGCUAUACUUCACGAAAAUCUUAUUAGACACCUCAUUUGGAGUUGUCCGUGAUUACCAAAUGAGUAGCUGACAUGGACUAAACUGUAGACAUCUAUACGUGGGACUGUUUCUGGACAGGGGUUCAACUCCCCUCACCUCCACCA
This is a non-coding RNA of 380 nucleotides. It matches the Rfam family "transfer-messenger RNA". Rfam says of the family: Bacterial tmRNA, also known as 10Sa RNA or SsrA, is named for its dual tRNA and mRNA-like properties. Its role is to liberate the mRNA from a stalled ribosome. The record is from Rfam.